RNAcentral lists this transfer RNA (77 nucleotides) under Pseudomonadota bacterium. Its description in RNAcentral is "tRNA-Asp". It matches the Rfam family "tRNA". From Rfam's summary of the family: Transfer RNA (tRNA) molecules are approximately 80 nucleotides in length. Their secondary structure includes four short double-helical elements and three loops (D, anti-codon, and T loops). Lineage: Bacteria; Pseudomonadati; Pseudomonadota. The record is from RNAcentral. RNAcentral also lists the same sequence under 2 other names.
GCGGGCGUAGCUCAGCUGGUUAGAGCGCCGGCCUGUCACGCCGGAGGCCGCGGGUUCAAGUCCCGUCGCUCGCGCCA